UGGGGAAUAUUGCACAAUGGGCGCAAGCCUGAUGCAGCCAUGCCGCGUGUAUGAAGAAGGCCUUCGGGUUGUAAAGUACUUUCAGCGGGGAGGAAGGGAGUAAAGUUAAUACCUUUGCUCAUUGACGUUACCCGCAGAAGAAGCACCGGCUAACUCCGUGCCAGCAGCCGCGGUAAUACGGAGGGUGUAAGCGUUAAUCGGAAUUACUGGGCGUAAAGCGCACGCAGGCGGUUUGUUAAGUCAGAUGUGAAAUCCUCGGGCUCAACCUGGGAACUGCAUCUGAUACUGGCAAGCUUGAGUCUCGUAGAGGGGGGUAGAAUUCCAGGUGUAGCGGUGAAAUGCGUAGAGAUCUGGAGGAAUACCGGUGGCGAAGGCGGCCCCCUGGACGAAGACUGACGCUCAGGUGCGAAAGCGUGGGGAGCAAACAGG
Molecule: ribosomal RNA, 429 nt
Filed under: Chloroflexota bacterium
Lineage: Bacteria; Bacillati; Chloroflexota
Description: Chloroflexi bacterium partial 16S ribosomal RNA
Rfam family: Bacterial small subunit ribosomal RNA
Source: RNAcentral